Molecule: small RNA, 367 nt
Filed under: Pan troglodytes (chimpanzee)
Lineage: Eukaryota; Metazoa; Chordata; Mammalia; Primates; Hominidae
Description: retained intron
Source: RNAcentral
CUGUAAUGCUGUUAGAAUCACCUUUCCUGUAUGUUCUCAGAAAUAAGUGCCGCUUUUGCAAAGUGUUAAGAUAAUUUAAUGUCUGGCUUUUCUGUUUCAUCAUCUCAUGGCAUGAGGAAUGCUGACUGCUCUAAACGUUGAACUUCUAGAAGCUUGAACCCAUUGACUUGCCACGAGUAAUUACUUCAGGAAGACUCCUGAGCCAGCGAGAAGCCAGGACAAUGCACAAAGCAAAGGUACUAGAAAAGAAAAUGCAAACUCCAAUGUAUACUUCUGAGAACAGACAAUAUUUGCAUAAGAUGCAAAUGCUGGAAAUGAUCCGUAAAAGACAAGAGGCCCAAAUGGAGUUAAAGAAAAGUCUUCAUGG